Molecule: ribosomal RNA, 330 nt
Filed under: uncultured bacterium
Lineage: Bacteria
Description: bacterial SSU rRNA
Rfam family: Bacterial small subunit ribosomal RNA
Source: RNAcentral
UGUGUAGGCGGUUGCUUAAGUUUGGUGUGAAAUCUCCCGGCUCAACCGGGAGGGUGCGCCGAAUACUGAGUGACUCGAGUGCGGGAGAGGAGAGUGGAAUUCCUGGUGUAGCGGUGAAAUGCGUAGAUAUCAGGAGGAACACCGGUGGUGUAGACGGCUCUCUGGACCGUAACUGACGCUGAGACACGAAAGCGUGGGUAGCAAACAGGAUUAGAUACCCUGGUAGUCCACGCCCUAAACGAUGCAUAUUUGGUGUGGGCCGUUCAGCCGGUCCGUGCCGGAGCUAACGCGUUAAAUAUGCCGCCUGGGGAGUACAGUCGCAAGGCUGAA